AAAUUUAAUUUAAAAGAUUUUCGAGAUUUUACAUGAUGAUAGCUAAGCGCCUAUAAUUUUCUGAUAAAUAAUAUAAGCGAAAUCCAACCCAUGAGAGGGCGACACGACCGCCUGAAGCCGCGAGUUGCAGACAGAUAAAACUAGAAGAAGAGAGGAAGGGGGAGUGUUAGGACAGAGGCAAGGAGAAAAAAAAAAUGUUUUCUUUUUAUCGCCCAAAAAACAACCGUUGGAAAUGCCACGUGUCGUCCCACCGACCCACCUGUCUGCUUCACUCUCUCUCCUUCCGAUUCCCUGUGCUGUUUCCUUUCCUUAUUUCCUCCCUUUGGUUUCUUUUGUUUUCAAGGCGAAGAAUACCAAUCUCUCUUUCUCUUUCUCAUCUCUCUGAACCCGUGAACUCUCAUCUGCUUCUCUGCGCUGCCACUUUCCCAUCAGCACAAAAAUUUCUCUAAUGGCCAUUCACUAGCCAAGCAAAUGUUGCCUCUUCUUCACACAAUUUUACGCAUUAUAUCCAUUUCUUCUUCUUCUUCUUCUU
RNAcentral lists this unclassified non-coding RNA (532 nucleotides) under Hevea brasiliensis (rubber tree). The record is from RNAcentral. Lineage: Eukaryota; Viridiplantae; Streptophyta; Magnoliopsida; Malpighiales; Euphorbiaceae.